CAAUAGCGUAUAUUAAAGUUGUUGCGGUUAAAAGCUCGUAGUUGGAUUUCUGCUGAGGACGACCGGUCCGCCCUCUGGGUGAGUAUCUGGCUCGGCCUUGGCAUCUUCUUGGGGAACGUAACUGCACUUGACUGUGUGGUGCGGUAUCCAGGACUUUUACUUUGAGGAAAUUAGAGUGUUUCAAGCAGGCGCACGCCUUGAAUACAUUAGCAUGGAAUAAUAAGAUAGGACCUUGGUUCUAUUUUGUUGGUUUCUAGGACUAAAGUAAUGAUUAAUAGGGAUAAUUGGGGGGCAUUUGUAUUAACGCGUCAGAGGUGGAAUUCUUGGAUUGCGUUACGACAAACUACUGCGAAAGCAUUUGCCAAGGAUGUUUUCAUUGAUCAAGAACGAAAGUAUGGGGAUCGAAGAUGAUCAGAU
RNAcentral lists this ribosomal RNA (417 nucleotides) under uncultured eukaryote. Its description in RNAcentral is "SSU rRNA". It matches the Rfam family "Eukaryotic small subunit ribosomal RNA", at positions 592 to 1013 of the family's 1831-position model. The record is from RNAcentral.